Non-coding RNA from Danio rerio (zebrafish), 924 nucleotides. Lineage: Eukaryota; Metazoa; Chordata; Actinopteri; Cypriniformes; Danionidae. The record is from RefSeq and is a predicted model, not a curated record.
CGUGCCUUACACUUUAGCAGCAGAUCAGCUUUCCAAACAAUAACAAAUCUCGCUUGUCUGUUAGUUUGUGUUUACUGUUGCUAUGGUGAUUCAGUGUUUGCAAGGGAGUGAGAGAAGUAAGUUGUUAUUGUAUUAUCAGUAGAAAAUUAUUAGAUUUAUAUCUUUUAAUGUUCUAAAUUCGUAUUAACUGUGCAAUUUUACCGUUAAUAAGAUGCUGCAAUGAUUUAUAUAAUAUAUUUUUGAUGAAGGAUUGAGAGAAAAAGCGUCAUUUGUAUAUGAGAGUGAAAUCUGCACACGAGUGCCACCUGGAGUUUUCCUGGGUUUUCGCUUUGAUUUUGAGUGAUUUCCUUGGCUGGGUUUUUUGUGUGUGUCGAAGCAUCUGUGAUGAGUCCCUAAUUCACGUUGGACUCGAGGAGAAACUUACGGCGAGCCACCCACGGAACCGACUCUCCUGUUAGACUGUGUGUUUGUGCCACCGGACUGGUAGGAGAGUUCUUUUGAUUGUUUGGAGAAACGAGACUCGGACUCAUCGCGACCUUCCGCUUUUCCUUCUUACUUUUCCUAAAAUCCUCAACGGAAAACCUUUACUGGAACUGAGCUAAGAGAAUCAACAGUUCUCUUUCACGAAAUCCUUGGUAUUGAACUGUGAACGGCAACCGGUGGAACGAAUCAUCUGAAAGCGAAACAAAUCCUUUGGACAGCAAAACGAAUCUUUUGAGUAGCGAACGAUUCAUUUGAACAGAGUUUUGAUUCUUUGAACAGUGAGGUGAUUCAUUUUAACAGAGUAGCGAUCUUUUGAACAGGGAGGUGAUUCAUUUGAACCGUGUAUUGAUUCUUUAAACAGAGAGGUGAUUUAUUUGAGCACAUUAAUGAUUUAUUGAGUUAAAAGUGUGAAUAUUGAAUUAUAGCCUGCAUUUGAGUAGA